UGACUUUCGACUCAUGUUUUGACAUUCCUUCAUUUCGUACUUUGUCAAAAUCAUCUGCUAGUCCCUGGACGAAAAAUGCGUAGCAUAAAAAACAAUUUGAAAUGUCAGCUUAAUACGAUAUUUAAAAAUUAAUUACAACUAAAAGAAAGUGCAAGGCCCCAGCUUCAGUUAAUCCUACAUAUUAAAAUAGCUUUGGGUCUGUCAGAUGCUAUUACCCAUGCCAAUGUGAAGUCCGGGCUAUUGGCGAAUAUGUUUCUCCUUAAAGUCCCGCGGCAGCAAUUGCAUUAAUUACUUUUGCCAGCCAGAAACCGAACGAGGCGCAGCGCUGCACACACAAAUGAAUAAUUAAAGUCAUUAAUUUCAAUUUAUGCAAAUGCGUCUGUAAACAACUUGUUGCAAUUCAUAAUAAAUAAAUUAAAA
Molecule: non-coding RNA, 420 nt
Organism: Drosophila virilis
Lineage: Eukaryota; Metazoa; Arthropoda; Insecta; Diptera; Drosophilidae
Source: RefSeq, a predicted model, not a curated record